UCGCAACUGAUUUUGAUUUGA
RNAcentral lists this non-coding RNA (21 nucleotides) under Caenorhabditis elegans. Lineage: Eukaryota; Metazoa; Nematoda; Chromadorea; Rhabditida; Rhabditidae. The record is from RNAcentral.